Molecule: ribosomal RNA, 476 nt
Filed under: uncultured bacterium
Lineage: Bacteria
Description: partial 16S ribosomal RNA
Rfam family: Bacterial small subunit ribosomal RNA
Source: RNAcentral
GAUUAACGCUGGCGGCGUGCAUAACACAUGCAAGUCGAACGAUGAAACUUAACUGAUUUCUUCGGAAUGAUUUUAAGUGGAUUAGUGGCGGACGGGUGAGUAACGCGUGAGUAACCUGCCUUGGAGAAGGGGAUAGCCUUUGGAAACGAAGAAUAAUACCCUAUGAUAUGAUAAUAUCUCAUGAUAUUAUCAUCAAAGAUUUAUCGCUCUAAGAUGGACUUGCGUCUGAUUAGUUAGUUGGUGAGGUAACAGCUCACCAAGGCAGCGAUCAGUAGCCGGCUUGAGAGAGUGUACGGCCACAUUGGGACUGAGACACGGCCCAGACUCCUACGGGAGGCAGCAGUGGGGAAUUUUGCACAAUGGGGGAAACCCUGAUGCAGCGACGCCGCGUGAUUUAGAAGGCCUUCGGGUUGUAAAAAUCUUUUGUAUGGGAAGAAAAUGACAGUACCAUACGAAUAAAGACCGGCUAAUUACGU